This 485-nucleotide long non-coding RNA is filed under the name Mustela putorius furo (domestic ferret). Its description in RNAcentral is "lncRNA (ENSMPUG00000026972.1)". The record is from RNAcentral. Lineage: Eukaryota; Metazoa; Chordata; Mammalia; Carnivora; Mustelidae.
CUGGGAGGGAGUCCAAGGGAUGGUCAUCUUUAAGCGCAAGCUGACACCCCUGGAAGCUGACUAGCACCCAGGGACGGAGAAUUCCAGAACACCAGCUUCCUGGAAGGCUGAGGUUUUGUUCCCUGCUGGGUCCCAGCGACUGGAAGACUGGCUGGCACGUAACAGGCCCUCGGCAUAUAUUUGUUACAUAAAUAAUGGGACCACAGGAACACUAGGACCACAAGAGAAAAAUGAUGGGAAGUGAUGGCCAGGCAAUUCACCUCACAAAAGACCCCUCUAGGAUACCUGCUGUCCCGGUGCCCCUCCUGGCCCUCUGCUGCUCCUGUCAGCUCUACACAAACCUCCACCAUGGCCCCAGGGCUGAGGCUCAGCGUGGGCCUCGGAGCCACACAAUCUGGAUCUUCUCCCUGAGCAGAAUAAGCUUGACUUACUGGUGUGAUGGAAAACACAAUCCCUGGAGUACCAGGCAGCCACAGAAACCAUAA